This 1220-nucleotide long non-coding RNA is filed under the name Sus scrofa (pig). RNAcentral describes it as "lncRNA (ENSSSCG00015025330.1)". Lineage: Eukaryota; Metazoa; Chordata; Mammalia; Artiodactyla; Suidae. The record is from RNAcentral.
UCUGCAGCUGAUACCAAUUCCCGAUAGGGAAUUUGUCCUCUAGUUUUAUAAGAUGUUCCCAUCGAGAGAAACUGCUUAAAAAAAUACAGGAGAACCCUCUCCUAGGUCUGACUACGGUACGUAAAUCUACAAUCAUCACAAUGUAAAAAGUUUACAUGUAAACUUACAGGAGAAUUGAAAUUUACCACAAAUCUCCAAUUGAGUCUACUGUGCUCUAGCACACCGAAAUUCUGAGGGUCUAAGCAUGUGUUUGGAGUUCACGGAGUUCCCACUGGGGCUCAGCAGGAUAAGAACCUGACUAGUAUGCAUGAAGAAACAGGUUCAAUCCUUGGCCUGACUCGGUGGGUUAAGGGCCUGGCAUUGCUGCAAGCUGCGGCUUAGGUGGUAGAUGCGGCUGGGAUCUGGUGUGGCUGUGGCAGGGGCAUAGGCCUGCAGCUGCGGCUCCAAUUGAAUCCUUAGUCUGGGAACUUUCAUAUGCUGCACCUGUAGCCAUAAAAAGGAAAAAAAUAAUAAUAAUUACAGUUCACAAAACUGCUGGCUUUGAUCCUCUUGUCCCUUCCAACUCAGUAGCCUGGAAACCUCCCAUAGCUCUAUCUUAAGAUCUGUGCUUUUCUGUGGCACUUUCUCCCCUCCUCAUUGUUCAGGGUUCAUUAGAUAAAACUGUCCCAAACUCCUGCUGAGAGAUGAUCUAUUGUGAGAUAGCUUUGUGAGGCAGAACACAGGAAACCUCAGGGUCUUAUCUCCUGUGAGCCGUCUGUUUUUCCCCAACAGCCCAAUAAAGGAGACUCCUCAGCUGGCAGGGAGUGGUUGGGAAGGCAGACACGGUCCCCAGACCCCUGACCCCACCCUCCACGGCCCUCUCUGUCGCAGGCAGCUGCGUUUCUUGUGGGCUGAGCCAGGGCUGGGAGGGUGAACAGUUCCUUCUCAGAUGGGCAAAGAGGACUUGUCCUGAUGGCUCUCUCAAUCUCUGCAAGGUCUCUGUUCACGUGUAUGUCCUGCUGAGUCGUAGUUCGGAGGAAGAGAAAAAUAGUCCAUUACAGACGUCGUAAAAUGUCUCUCUCCUCAUCAUGGAUCAAAGCUGUUUUCAUCAUUUCCUUGGCAGGACCUCUUCAUUCUGGUGAGUAGAUUUUCAUCUGCAGUGAAACAUGUUACAUAUCUUAGAAAGUGCAGGAAAAAGUUCUGUAAUCCAGGAAUGGAGGAGCUUGUGUUUUAUUGGGUUU